This 526-nucleotide ribosomal RNA is filed under the name uncultured bacterium. Its description in RNAcentral is "bacterial SSU rRNA". It matches the Rfam family "Bacterial small subunit ribosomal RNA", at positions 777 to 1311 of the family's 1533-position model. The record is from RNAcentral.
AAUAGAUACCCAGGUAGUCCACGCCGUAAACGAUGGAUACUAGCUGUUGGGCGCAAGUUCAGUGGCUAAGCGAAAGUGAUAAGUAUCCCACCUGGGGAGUACGAACGCAAGUUUGAAACUCAAAGGAAUUGACGGGGGCCCGCACAAGCGGUGGAGCAUGUGGCUUAAUUCGAUGAUACGCGAGGAACCUUACCAAGGCUUAAAUGCAGACUGACCGGUUUGGAAACAGACCUUUCGCAAGACGGUCUACAAGGUGCUGCAUGGUUGUCGCCAGCUCGUGCCGUGAGGUGUCAGGUUAAGUCCUAUAACGAGCGCAACCCCUGUUGUUAGUUGCCAGCGAGUCAUGUCGGGAACUCUAGCAAGACUGCCAGUGCAAACUGUGAGGAAGGUGGGGAUGACGUCAAAUCAUCACGGCCCUUACGCCUUGGGCUACACACGUGCUACAAUGGCCGGUACAGAGAGCAGCCACCCCGCGAGGGGGAGCGAAUCUAUAAAGCCGGUCACAGUUCGGAUCGGAGUCUGCAAC